Molecule: long non-coding RNA, 4904 nt
Organism: Pan troglodytes (chimpanzee)
Lineage: Eukaryota; Metazoa; Chordata; Mammalia; Primates; Hominidae
Exons: 2
Source: RefSeq, a predicted model, not a curated record
AGCAGCUUUCUAACCACCUUGCAUGCCACCACUCAUCCAGCAGUCUUCCCCAAGCAUUGGGCUACAUGGGGAUCCUUGAGAGAAGAAAGCUGAGUCUGAAAUUGGUUUUGCUUCUGUGUUUCUUGCAUACCCUUUAAAGUAUUAGAUACAUGACAGUAAUUGGAGCCAAACCAGCAACUGCUUCGAGAGAUCCCUGGGUUGCAGUUAAGUGUCAGCAGUCCCAGCCAACUGCAACGCUCCCAUUCCUAAGCCAAGGGAUCCAUGCAGGUGUGCAUUGCUCUGUCAAUCCUAUGCUGCUGUGAACCUCAACAAACAUGGGCCCUAAGAACCAGGAAUCCCAGCAACUCUGUUGUGAAAUUUGCAGUACAGCACCACAGUUCUGCAAUAAUUGUAUUUCCUGUUGAGUUACUUCCUCAGACAAUCAACAUAGCAUGGCAAAUAAAAGUGGCCCCCAAAGGAAUAUCAGAACCAACAAGUUGGAAUUGAAAUGGAAAGAAUACCCUUUGGUCAAUCCCAGAGUUGUCUCAUUUGUCUGUCUGUGAAAGAAUAGAAUGAUUUAUGUUUGAAUAAAAGGUGUCAGGGCCUUGGGGGAAGGAACAUACCCAUUCCUGCCAGACCUACUCUGAAAAACCCCUGCUCUAAAAAUCAGUGAUUUGACAAGCAUCACCUUGCAUCUCUGUUGACAUCUAUUAACACACUUCUCCAACUGCUACAGAAUAUUUACUAUUACACACAAUCAGAGAAUCAGGGCCACUGGAUCCCUGGGAUUCUGCUAGACUUGCAAUUUGAAAGCAAAUGAGAUCUUCGGCAAAAUGACAGGCAAAAAUUCUGUGCCACAAUGAGCAGAUGACCUUCAAUGAUAUUGCCACAGUGGAUAAUGCAUUUCUCUUAGUCAAAGGAAGGGCCCACUUCACCUGGCUGUAAGGACAUUGUCUUAGCCUAUUCAACGUGCUGAAACAAAAUAUCUUUGACUUGAUAAUUUAGAAACAAUAGAGACGUCUUGCCCACAGUUCUGAAGGCUGGGAAGUCCAAGAUCCAGGCGCCGGCAUAUUCAGUGUCUGCUGAGGGCUGCUCUCUGCUUCAGAGAUGGUGGCUUUUUACUGCUUCCUCACAUGGCAAAGGGGUGAGGGAGCUCUCUGGGGCCUCUUUUAUUAGGGCACUAAUCCCAUUCUCGAGGGCUCCACUCUCAUGAUGGAGUCAACUUCCAAAGGCCCUGCAUCCUAAUAUCAUCAACUUGGGGAGUGAGGAUUUCAAAACAUGAAUUUUGAGGGAACACAAAUAUUCAGUCUAUAGCAGACAUCUAUUUUUAAAAGAAAUGUUGGCACAAGACAAUGAGAAAGAGAGGGCUUUGUUGGUAAGAGGCCAUGCUGACCUGGACUGUACAAUAAGAUAGCCACCAGCCAUGUGUAACUAUGUAAAUUUAAAUUAAUACAAAUGAAGCCAAUUAAAAAUUCAGCUCCUCAGUGGCACAAGCCACACUUCAAGAGUCUAACCCCACUCAGAAUAUAGAGAUCACUGAGAGGAAGCAAAUGUACACAGCAGACAGGUUGAGAAUUCACUGAAAUUCAGAAUGGUUGCAGCUCUAGAAUUAGGCUUUCGGAGGUGCCUCUUGGCUUCACACCCACCCACCAUUGGCCUUGGGCACGUCAGCCAUGCCGUGCUUCACUCUGUUCAUCAGCAAAGUGAAAGAUCUAAAAAUAAGGCCCUAUGGCACAGAGCUAUGGUGGGAUUGAAUGGGAAUCGGUAUGCAAGAUUGUUGGCACCCAAUAAGUGCCAGCUGUUUUUAUAUUUAAUUUAAUCAUUCAAUUAACAUCCAUUAUUAACUGCCUACUGUGUAGGCAGUUACAACAUGGCUCUAGAGGCUGGGAUGCGGAAGAGAAUAAAGUACUCCCUCCCACCCACUGCCUUCACCAAGCUUACAUUCUAGCAGAGAGACUGGCAACGAACAAGAUCAAUAGCCAGUGUGAUGUCAGUGGUGACAGCUGCUAUGCAGGAAGGGAAAGCUGGGUGAUGAGUAGAUGGCCUGGGAGCAGCACUGCCACGUGGAAUAGGAAACCAGAGAUGGCCUCAUAGGGGAAGAGACUUUCAGACAGAGGAAACAGUACAUGCAGAGGCCACAGGCCAGAGCCUGGCACAUCAGAGUGAGUGCAGGAGGUGACUGGAGAAAAGAAGAGGGGGCAGAGGUGAAAGGUGAAGCCCUGGAGGCCACUGUUGUGGUUUAUGUUUCACUUCGACCUGGAGGCCAGUGGAGGAUUUGAGCCCUGGGUCCCGUGCUUUGCCUUUUGCAUUCAUAAUAAUAGCAGUGUUGUAGAGCCCUCAAUAUGAGCCAGACCUAAGUUCAAACUCUUUACCUACAUCAACAACUCUGAGGGGCAAAAACUAAUAUCAGGCCCAUUUUCCGUCCACAAGAGUCUAAAUGAUAUUCUCAUAGAAGCACAGUUACUCAGAAGCGGAAGCAAAAGUUGAAUUUCUAAGUCAAGCUCUAGACCAUGCUGGGGUCCACAUCCCUGCACACUACCAGGGCCCUGUGUGGCUGCAGCAGGGAUGCCAGGAACAGGAAAACUGGCUGCUGCAUCAAGCCCGCCUGGAGGCAGCAGGGCUGGGACCAGGGUGCUGAGAGGCCGUGCUGGGCACAGGGAGAUUCUGGGCAUCUUUUAUAAACAAAGCCAAGAAGGCAAUCAAGGAUAACACCAAAUGUCUUAGCCUGAACAACUGGAAGGAGAGCAUCACCACUGGCAGGAUGCAGAAGGCCAGGGAAUGAGGAUUGUUUAAUGCCCGUUGAGGACAGAAAUCAGAUCUGUUUUGUCCAUAAUGCCAAUCAAAGCUGAGUUCUCCGAAGUGGACAGAGAAGUGAGUGACUCUCAGAAAGUCUCUCUGAUCUAUUUUUGGCUGAGUGUGCUGUAAUUCACAGUAUGUCCGGACACGGGAUAUUUUUCAGCUUCAGAUAUCAUCAUGGAAGGCGCUAAGUCUCAGGCAGAGCAAUGCUUAGCUUCUUGUGUCCUCAGCACAUGCAAAGAAGUGGGCGUCAGAGCAACGUGCGCCCCCGUGCAUGUCAGCAGAGACAUUGCCAGUGCUCCGGGAGCACUUGUUCCCAAUUUAAUUAAAAACAAAAAACUCCCAAUAGCAAUUUGUCACUGUGUUUUAGGAGGCAUGGAAGCUGUGCUCCAAACUACUGUGACCUGGUUGUUUUGCAGCAAACCUGGUCUGGCUCAUUAACAACUGGAGGCAUAGUCUGUGCUUCAUGCUUCCGUUCCUCAGUUACUCCUGUGAGCCUGGGGUUGGGUGAUAUAACAAACAUGAAGGGAGACCAGUGGGAGGAAAAAUCAGGGCAGGGGCUGUCCCUGUUCUCCAGGCUGGAGCUGGCACUGGCAGCUGCUAUUGCAAACUCAACCUUACUAAUGCCAAUCGGAAAUAUGCACUCAAUCCACUGGGAAAAGCAAGUCAUGAAGAAAUCUCAUCCCCACAGCCAGCACACCCCAGGCUGAUUGGCGAAGCUGCUAAUUGCUUAACACAAGCAAUUAGCAAGGUAGAUGACACUGGAGAAAUGCAAAGCAGUUGCAGUGAGCAUUUUAAAUAUCGCCUUAACUCACUGGAGUAGCUGAGAGGUCCGGAUGAGAGCAGUAGCAUAUCGAUCACUUAGGAGCUGCAAAGACACUAGCUCUGCGUUAAUCAAAGAAUCUGUCUCUGCUGAGGGGAAAAAGCCAGGAAAACACCUGAAAAUGUGGCUUUCGGCUCCUGUGCCCUAGUUUCUUCACCAGAAACCAAAUUCCAGACUCCAUUCAAUUCCUCAUCAGUGAUCAAUAUAGGUAACAAAAUGCUGGGCUGUGUGUGGAUCUAUGAGCAGAUGCUGGAGGCACUGGUACAGACACAGCUGAGCCUGAGGGAUCAGCAGCUCCCUGGGACCUCCCUGCCUUCAUCAAGGAGAAAUGUUUAAUCACAACAGAGCAAGAUAUACAUUCUUCCUGCUGGGGGUGGAAGGAACCUGAGGGCUGUAGUUUAAGGCUUGAAGAAGUGGCAGAGACGCAGAUCACAUCUCUGCUCUUGCUGGUCCCUCUCGCUGAGGAAAACCCAACCCUUCCAGUGCCCCAAGUGCCAUGCUUGCUGGCCCCCCUCACGAGGUGCAUUCAGUGCAGUCCUGACUUCCGACCAGGAUCAGGAAGGAAUUCACCCACCUCCUCAGUGAUUGCGCUCUUCAAGGUGAACAGCCCAGAUCCUUCUAGGCUGCCCGUCCUCCAGCCCCCAGGCUGGGAAGGAAGUCAUCACUUCCCAGGAGAGUUUUGGCAGAUUGGAUUUUCCAAAGAUGGCGCCAUCAAUAUCUCUCAUCCCCCACAAUCUCCUUACACAGUGACACGUCAUCUGUGACACCAAGAUAUCAGGGCUGUGUCCCCUCCUCUGAAUCAGAGUAGACCUCUUUGACUGCCUCAACACAGAGUACAGCAAAGUGAAGCCCUGUGACUCCUGAUACCAGAUCAUGGAAAUUCUCGGUUCUUCCUCUUUGUUCUCUUGGGACGUUACUCCUGGAACCAGACACCGUGCUGUGAGAAAGCCCAGGCAGACCUUGGAGAAGGCCCCGUGUGGAGAGAAACCAAAACCUGGGGCCCACCGCCCUUGCUGCCCUCUCCGACAACGACUGGAACCACACUUCAGCCCCAGAGUAAGACAUCUCCGAAGCAGGUCCUCUACCCUCCAGGGGUCUGCCCCAGAGGGUGCCCCAGAGAGCAAAGCAAGCUCUCUCCACCAAGCCCUGCAAUCUUCAAAUUCAUGAGCAGAAUAAAUAACCACAGUUGUGUCAAAAGACAAAAUCACAACAAAUUUAAAGAUCUUAAUUGGCUUUUAUGUGUGAUUCGUGAAUCAGGGCAGCCUCCAUCCUACAAAAUAAAAUGAAAGCUUGAAAGCUUCCACCA